UGAUGAUCUGAUUGAGAAGCGGCAGGCCCUGCUUUUGCUGCAGGCUGGAGUGUGUGAGCGAGGGCACGUACGCGCACACUGCCACAUGGAGCAUCUGUGGAGUUUUGUCACAGGCACAACUUCAGAAUAAAUAAAUUCAGAUGGAUGUUGGCCUCUCUACCGACAACCGGCAUCAGGGGGAAAAGAGCCAAAAACAAGCAGCCGAGAAACCAGCUCAAAGAGCGGAGCUACAUGGGGACAGAAACAACAAGUUCAUAUGGUUAGAGGCUGCAUGUCAAUUCAUCAGAGGUUUCACUGAGGAUAAAUAAGUGCCAGGAGGUCAGACCAGGAGAGCCAUAAUCUUUGACAUGGUUACCUUGGCCUUCCCGAAAAGUCCCGACAUGAAGGGCCAGAGGGAUAGGACAGCCAGGCCCACAGUCAGCAUGGCGCGAUGGAAGAAGCUCACCACCUGGGGGCAGCAAAGGUGAACUGUCAGCCACAGAACAGAGGAUAUAGAUAAUUGUAGGUUUUAGAUUCUGUCGUAGGUAGAAAAUAUGCAUCUAGCUGUACAUUAGAAAACCAUCAAAGACACCUACCAGCAACUCAAUCCCAAAUGCCACCAGCACAAAAUAGCCCAAACAUUUCCACAGUGGAAGAGCAGGCGCCGACUUGAUCAGAUCUUUCAGAGUGCCUGACCUGAAGUGGAUCAUUUAUACAAUUAUUUUUCAGUAAGAAAAUUGAGAAAAGAACAAGAACUCUCCAAAGACACUUUGGUGAGUGUCACUCACUCUUUCAGGACAGAGUACCAUACAGGGACCGGCAGCAGGCAGUAGAUAUAAUAGGUAAUCGGGCUCCUUUGGACCAGCAGGAACCCAGAGAUCACUACAGUCACACAUAGACACAGCCUCUCCAGGGUAUAGCUGCGAGUCUGCAAUAUGCACACACACUGGGGCGUUACCAAACAAUGUGACUGUGAGACACAUUUGUUUCCCUUAAGCUUAUUUUGCCGGCCGGGCAGCGGGAUUAUAUAUUGAGCGCCCUGACCUGGUUGAGGAGACUGGGGUGUCUGUGGAGGCUGGCGUGAGUCUUCAGGAUGACCAUGACAACAUAUGAGGUCCAGCCUACAAAUCCCAGCACCACACUGCAGCCCAGGAAGAACCUGUCGUAGUCAGGUAAUGACGACUGUCGCUGCAGUGGUGAGACCGGCUGAUGUGGCGCUGACUGUUUAGCAAAUUGUGUUUCCCAUUGCUGAACCCACAAUGUUUGUGGUACAUUGGUAAGUAAAAAGUUUUUUAACUCACUUGCUGAUGAUCAUUAUUUAACUUAUUGUACUUACUGAUAUGGGGUGAAGAGAAAGGACAAGGUUGUCUCCUUUUUCUGGGUCAUUUUCAUCUAGAAAAUAAAUAUAUACAACUCAGUUACCAUAAACCACCUUCCAUGUGCUUCAGCACUAUUUAUAACUUGAAAGAUAAGAAGCUUCCCGCAAUUCCUGACCAAUAUUAAUAACAGUAAUAUUAUAUCAGCAGCAGCAGAGAUGAAUGCUGCCAUACCUUGAAUUGCUGUAGUACUUGAAUGGCGUUAGUGUACAUGCUCUCUGCUUUGAACAGGUCACUGUUGUUCAGGUAGAGAAGAGGCAAAACCCCCUGUAAUGACACAAAUACACAUGAAGAUGAGCAUAAAGUCAUAAAAACUGAAGAAUUAUCUUUUUAGAAAAUAUUAUAAACUCACAUGAGAAUUUCUACAACUGAACAGAUUUUCACAGCCACCUAAAGGUUCUUACAAAAUAAAGGUCAGAAAAAUGUAGCUCUGUCUUAUCUCUAAACUUACAACUGAGUUGACAGGAAAGGGCACGCCGAUGAGAGAAGCCAUGAGGGGAGCAAUGUCCGCCUGCAGAAAACAAACAAAAACGAUUUCACUUCGCCCUUUGUCCUUCAGUUGUAUCACUGCUUUCACACACUGUAAAUGUAGUGACCCUGAUUCCUGUUACUGUCGUGCUAGGCCACGGGUCUUACCUGACUGACGUCCGCCCUGUGGAGGUGCUCCAGUUUCCAAUCUGAGAGAAACGGAGGGGAAUAGAGACAGGAAAGAAUACAAAUCAAUAAAAGUAUAUAGUAUAAUACAUUUUUUCCAAAAUGUUGCUCUGCCUUACAAGUGAUAUUCAGCAUAUUGUCCUAUGUUUUAAACUGCACACAAAUAAUUGCUCUAAGUUGGUGUCCUAGGUGGGUCCUAAAAACAGCUUUAAACUGUUUGAGAGACCUUUAAGUAAAGCGGCUCUGAUUACAGUGCAUGGGUUUAGCACCUUGAAGGUAGCCAUCGUCAUACAGUUGGGGUUCAGUGACUCUACGAGCCCUUUGGACUCCAGCUCCCCACACCACUAGAGGGGUGAGCGUCUCAGAGGGAUGCCCUGCACCGUGAGAGCCUGCAAGGAAACACACACACAAAUUUUGUCAUGCCAUGAUCAGAGGUGAACACGUAGGCUGUUCUGCCAUCAUAACCAAAGAAUUCCUCCACUAUGGACACCAGCUCAGCCACACCAGUGUCAACUAAAGCAAUGUUAUCCAG
Long non-coding RNA from Platichthys flesus (European flounder), 2541 nucleotides. RefSeq lists it as uncharacterized. The transcript is spliced from 5 exons. NCBI's taxonomy places the organism in Eukaryota, Metazoa, Chordata, Actinopteri, Pleuronectiformes, Pleuronectidae. The record is from RefSeq and is a predicted model, not a curated record.